AUUAAACGUACCUGUGUCCAGCACUAGCAUCUGAGUCUGAGAAAGACAGGCCAGCAUUGUAGGUGGCCUUUGAUGAUGUUUGUGGGUUUGAACUCCUAAUGAUUUCUCCAUUCUUUCAUCCUUGAUGAUCAUUUUGCUGUUCACAGGCCAUUUAUCUUUCUUGCUUUCUUCUUAAUUCUCGUAUUGGCUUUCUUCUGAAUAUUCCUGUGAUUGUCUAGAUUUUUACCUUUAGCUUUUAUUGAAGCGUUUAAUUUUAGCCUUUAAAAAAGUUGUCUGUCUUUCUUGUUGGUUCCUCAUUUUUUUCCUUUGUUUCUUAAGGAUUUUUCUUCUUUCACAAGUAUACCUGUCUAGCAACAUGCUGCAUUUAACCAUCUUUGAGGAAAUUUAUCUUUCAAGAGCCAUUUAACAUUAGUUUGAUAUUUUCACAAGGUUCCAGUUUGUGUGUUUCUUUAGAAACAGUAUGCCUGCAAUGCUGUCCUUAUUCCUGCCUAGAAAACCCACCAAUCGAAUGCUCUGCUGCACAACUAUUGCAUUUGUGUGAGUGCUAACUUUUGUAUUUUCGUUUGUUGUUUCUUGAGAUCAUAGCUAAUUGUGUUUUGUCUGCAAUAUUGAAAUUUAGAGUAAUCCUUUUAUUCAACUCUCUUCAUGCAUGCUGCAGUCUGAACAUGGUUGAAGCACUGAUAUUACAUAUCAUUCUUCUGGAGACAAAUGAUUUUUUUUAUUAAUUAUUUUCCAGGCUUCUGAUUCUAUGGAGUAUGGUGAGAAUCUUGUCGGCUUGAAGGUGAAGGUUUGGUGGCCCAAAGACCGUGAGUAAGUAUAUAUAUUUUCAAUUGUUGCAGAAGUGAUCCUCUGAAGUAGAAGCCAUGAAUUUUAUUUGUUUAUAUCUUCUUUUUUAUGCAUAUGCACAUGCGGGCAUUUAUCUAAUGUGUGAUUGUGCUUAUAUAUGUUGGAGCCCCCCUCCUUCAAAUUUUAAUGUCAACGAAUUAAAGUUGCUUAGUCUUGAAGCUUAUUAUCAUUAUAUAAGCUCUUUUUCCCUUGUUUUCUCACACUUGAAUCUUUUAUUUGCUGCAAGAAAAAAAAUUGAUAAAUGUAAAGUGUUCUCUUUCAAACGUGGAAUGUCUGCUAAUUUCUUUCUCCCCUUAUGGAUUUUGUUUUGCAGGUUCUAUGAAGGUUUUAUUCAUUCAUUUGAUUCCGCUAAAAAGAAGCACAAGGUGACACGUCUAAUGAGUAGAAAUUCAUUUUAAUGUUUUCUUUUUCUUAGUAUGUUACUGGAAGUUUUUCCUCUGACCAUUCAUGCUACAAUGUAUUAAAUUAUUUUCUUCAAUUUUUAUUUGUUUAUAGGUGCACUAUAAUGACGGUGAUGAAGAAAUUUUAAAUCUUAAGAGAGAAAAGUGGGCUGUGAUUGAAGACGAGUCAGGGUCAGAUGAGGUGGGCAGUUCAUAAGCAAUUGAUUUUUUAUUUGUUCAUGUACUUUGUUGCUAAUGUUUCAUUGAAACAGGAAGGCGCAGCUAAUCCUCCAAGUCCUGAUGGUUCAUCUGACAUGUAGGUGAUUCCUAUUUGUGAUUCUUGAAUGUUAAAUUUGAUUGCACGACCAUUUUGGCCUCAGAUGGUUCUGUGUAUUUUGGUCUUUCGUGAUGAACUUUUGCGUAGUUGGCUUCUAUAGUUUAAGUUGAUUCUUUUCCAUUCUUUAGCAUCGUUAAUUUUUUCUGAAAGGUGGAGUUUAUUUCACGUGUUAUAUCUGGUAUUAGUUUGCAUUUCUGUUUCACAAUCCUUGUUUGCACUUAUCUUCUUUUCCCUUGUGAUCAUUUUUUAGUGGCAGGCUUCAAAAGAAGAAGGCAAAAACAGCUGAUCCCUCGAGCAAGAAAGCUAAGAUGGAUGCUUCACCAAAAAGGUUAUUAGAUUCUUUCAAAUGGAACCCUUGAUAUGUUAUUUAUUUGAUUUCUGAAAAUCCCAAUAUUGGAUGGUCAGGGGUGGAGGAACUUCGUCGGGGAAAUCCAAGGGUAGUGCCACAAAGUCUGGUCGCAAAACAAAGGAAGAUGCUAAAGUGGAUGGGAAAUCCAAAGAUGGUUCCAAGAGUGUCGGUAAAUCUGGCAAUGACAGUGUUGCUAAGUCCAAGGAUCCUAGCACCCCCAAAACUGGCAGUAAACCAGUUGACAAUGCUUCAAAAGCAGACAAGAAGUCCAAGAAUGAGGAGAGUGGUGAAACACCGAAGUCUACGAAAUCCAAGGAUGAUGGAAGUGCCACACCAAAAGCUUCCUCAAAGUUAAAACAAGACGUUCCAAAGACGGGCAAUUCCAAGCAGGAAACCCCCAAAAUUUCGUCCCAAUCUAAGGGUAAGCCUCUUAAGAGUGGGGGCAAAUCCAAUUCUAAUGGCACUGGUAAGUCAAAGUCUGGCUCGUCAAAGGUGAAAGAAAGAGAAAGCAUGAAAGAGAGCUCAACUGAUUCAGGAAAAGUUGUGGGAAGUGUGAAGCGGAAAGCACCAAGUUUGUUGAAGGCGCAGGGAAGUGAUUCGAAGUCUGGAAAAAAGAGGCAAAGAUGAGUUGAAAGUCGCACCUACUGCAUUGUCAUUUGCCAAGGGUUGGUUCUUCUCCAAUGUGGAACUUGGGUGAAUUGUAGUAUUUAUUGUAGCAUUUGGGUAUUUGACGUAGAUCUUAGGUUUGUGGCUAGCAAAUAUUCGUAGUUAAUGCAGUUUAUAGUGGUUGUACUUUGUAGGGUUAAGAUACCUCUUUUAUAUAGAUAUAGUUUUUUUCCUUUUCCUUUAUUAUUGAUGCAGGCGUUAGGAUCACAUUGGGUUUAGAGUUUUUGCCUUUGUACCAAAGAGUUGCUUCUAUAGAUUAACGUAAUAGAUUGGAUUCGAGAAACUGUGGAAGCAGUGGUGGCGUAUCCUUUUCUAUCGAAUGCCUUCCCCUUUUUAACGAUUUGCUUUUUUUUUUUUGUUUGGUCCGAUUACAUUUUCUUAAAAGUAAAUAUAGAACUUAACUGAUAGAACACGAGUUGCGGUAUUAUCUAUUUCUAUAUUUAUAAAGUUUUUCUUAUUCUUUUAAAUUACAAUUACAAAUUGAAGUGGUGUCAACAUUGCUGUUUGGCUACUGUACUGUACGUAGAAGUAAACGAAAUCGAAGAGGUUUUGGAUUUUCAUCUUCGUUUGAUAUUAAGAAGUGCUCGUCUUGGUGAAGACUGUAGAUGAAUGGGUGGAAUUAAUUUUUACACAUCGAAUGGUGAUAAAGCAAAUGGGAAAGGGAUGAGGUUCAAUGGCUUCACAAAUGGAUGAUCACCAGCAUAUACUUGUUUCAUUUGUUUGAAUUUUGGGUCAAAUUCUGGAUUUAUUUCUUAAUUUUGAUUCAGUCUAACUUCAAUUUUUAUAUUUUUUGAAUUGGUCAAUUUCUAUAGUAGCUUGAAUUGUAGUAAUUAAAUUUCACUAUUAAUCUAGUAUUAUGUGAAAAGUUAUAAAUUUAAUUUCUAUUCUUUGGAUUAUAAUUGUUUUUUUUUUAAGUAAAUCUAGAACUUAACUGAUAGUAGAGGAGUAAGGUAUUAUAUAUUUCUAUAUUUGUAAAGUUUUUCCCAUUCUUUUUCAUUACAAUUACAAAUUGAAGAGUUGUCAACAUUGCUGUUUGGCUUUUGUAUCGCUUCGUAGAAGUAAACGAAAUCGAAGAGGUUUUGGAUUAUAGCUAGAGCGACUGUUUGUUAAAGCAAGCAAGCUUCAAUUUAGAUAUUAGGGAAGAUUGUGGUUGUUUCCAUCACUCUAUCGUAUCCAGGAUGUAAUCGAUUUAAACGAUUAUAGAUCUGCGAAAUGUAAUAAGUUGAGGAGGAUCUAUUUGAGGUGGACUUUAACUGUGAAAUUAGAUAAUCAUUAUUAUUAGAAAAUUGAAAAGUAAGCAAUCAAUAUUGAUACGACUAUUUUUAAACGUGCACAAAUAAAUUAUUCUAUGAAAGCGUUGAAAGUUGUAUGGAUAUGACUACUGUCUACUGAUAUAAUAUGUAUUUAUUUUUUUACAAUAGACAGUUGAAACUAAAUUAAAAGCGAAAUGAAAAUAUAAUCCUUUUCCAAUUGCGAUGCCGGAGCUACGACCAACGAAAUGGAUGAAAUUGACAUGAUUUUGAUAACGAUGUUCAUACAAGUUAAUACAUCGAUUGGCCAAAGGUAUGUUGGAUAAACCUUAUUCAAUUGUUUAAUAUUGGUUAAAUGACAAAUGUAUAGGAUGGAUAAAGUUAUUGUUGAUUUUACAAAUCAAUCCGGUUAAAGGCAUGACAUUUGUUGCUUAAUGCCUAAAAAAUUGGAAACAUUCAUGGUAACAUCGUUAAUUAAAAAUUAAUUAAAUACAAAAAUAGGGUGCGAAACAAAUUAAUUACAAAAAUUAGGUGUUUGUUAUAGUAUUUUUGUCAACAUACCUUUAUUGGAAGAAAAUUGUUUGAGACAUAUUUAAGUUGUCGGAAAUUACAAAUUGCAAAGUAAUUAUUCGUGAGCACUAUUCAAAUUAAAAGCGAUGAUUUAUCAUCCAAUAGAUACAUUUCCAUGGGACAUGUUUCUCUCAAAAAGUAUGUCCAAUAUGAACGGUUGUGUAAUACCCCUACCCGUAUUCGUCGCCGAAAUAGGAUAUGAGGCAUUACCAGAUUUUACCGAAUAAAUUUUUCGUUAUUACGAGUUAAAUACUAUUCAUUUAUCGAAACAUGUCAUGACGUCCCUUGGAUGGGCCUCCGAAGCCCAAAACAUACAUCGGGACCAAACCGAGAUUAAAUCGAAACCAUAAGAAAUUUUUUGCAAAAUCCCAAAGUUUUUUUUUUUGAACUCAAUAUAACCCCUUUAUAAAUAUCUAAUCUUCCCCGCAAUUUUAAACCGAGACCAAUCCAACACAACCAAUCCAUUUCAACAUAUUUUCAAGUAGAUUUAACAUAUUCAUAAGAUAACCUGAUCACAUACCAAAACCAAAUUUGUUAGUCAUACCAAUGGCUAACCAUACAUUCAUUUCACAUUAACAUUUACUUUACUAGCUUAUACAUGCCAUUGAUUUCCAAAAUAAAGUUCCUUUAUAUACCGGGAUCUUGAGGUUGAUAGUAUGAUGCGUCUCCGACCAAAUCCAACCUUCGAGCUCUUAACACUACAACAUAGGGGAAAAUGAAACAGGGUAAGCACUUUGUGCUUAGUAAGCUCAUGUAACAAGAAUUAUACUUACCUAAUAUUUUCAAUACAAUGCAAUAAACAUUCAUACAUCCAUUCAAUGCAUUUUUCCCUUACCAUGCACAAACUCAACAUUCAAGUUAGUUCAAUAAUUUCCAUGUAUCAAUAAUAUAUAUACCAUGAUUGAUGAGCUCAUCAAUACCAUGAUUUCCAUUUCCUUGUUAUUUUUUCAUAUUUAUCCCAUUGAAUUUCUUGGAAUUUUGAUUGAUUUUCAGGGAUACACUUUAGUGUACAAAUCCGGGUCCGUCAAUUCAUAUUCAUGUGCACACAUUUCCAUUUCAGAGAGCACACUCCCACGAAUUUCAUCUUUACAGCGGGAUUACCAAUCCAGGCUAAAUCCCCUGUAAUAUAAACUUAUAAAGUAUUGUCGGGAUUACUUGUUUAGGUUAAAUCCCCUACAAUGACAAUUGCUCUAAUGAGCUUGGAUCUGAAUUACCAGUCCAGGCUAAAUUCAGACCCUAAUUCGGAUUACCCAUCCGGGCUAAAUCCAUUUUCCACAUAUUCUUCGGGAGGGCUAUAUCAGGAUAGGAUCACCCGUCCGGGCUAGAUCUUUUUUACCGUCAAUUUCUUUUCAGAGAUCCAUCGAAUUUUCCUUCCAUUCAACCGGGAUUUCUUCCCCUUUUUAUCAAAUAUAUCAAUGUUUCAUCAAUUUUCAUACAAUGAACAUUCAAAUCAUAUUCACAUCAAUAACAUACAUUUCAAGCAUUUAAGAAUAUAAUUCAAGUUACACGAACUUACCUCGAUACUUGUUAAUAAACAAAAAUCAACUAAUCUCGAACUUUUUUUUUCCUCAAUCUAGCUUCGCAUUUGAAUUUUCUGGAUCUAAAUAAAUAAAUUUAAUCAUUAAUCUAAUACAUUUCAUGUUCAUAUGUAACAUUCUCUAUAAUUCCAUUAUAUUUAUAUAUAGUUCAUUCAAAGCUGUCUCCUUGAGUCAUAGUCACUAAAUUAUUUAUAUCUUGAGCUACAGAACUCCAAAUUAAGAUCCGUUAUUUUUUCUCGAAACUAGACUCACAUAUCUCCUUACCAUAAAAUUUUUAGAAUUUUUGAUUUAGCCAAUAAGUACAUUUUAUUAUUUAAAGUCACCCUUAUUCUGUUGUCUGGUAGUUUCGACCCUUCUUCACUAAAAAUUAAUUAUCUUCUCAUACAAGAUUCGAAUGAUGCUCUCAUUUGUUUAUUUUGAAAAUAGACUCAUUAAUGGUUUUAAAAAUAUAAAUUUAAGUCCCUACUUAUUUUUAUCCAAUUUUUUAUGAUUUUCUAAAGUCAGAACAGAGGAACCCGAAAUCAUUCUGACAUUGUCUCACAAAACCUAUUAUAUCUCAUGAUUUACAAUUUCAUUGCUUACACCGUUUCAUCUAUGAGAAACUAGAAUUAAUAAUUUUUAAUUUCAUAUUUUAUUAAUACUAUAAUUAAAUUUCCACAAUUUAUGGUGAUUUUUCAAAUUUAACGUACUGCUGCUGUCCAAAACUGUUUUAGUGCAUGAUGUUAAUUACCAUUUUUCCUCUAACUUUCAAUAAAUGAUAAUUUCAUUCUUGCUCAAUUAACCUCUCAAUUGAGCUGAUUUUUCUCAAUUAACACUUUAUUCCAUCACUUUAAACUACUUUAUAACCUCUGGAAGUCAGAAUUUCAGCACUAGACUUUAAUUCCAAACUUUUUCACAAUUAGGUCCAACAAAUCGAUUUCCAUUGAAAUUACCUAAUAAAACCAUAUCAUAAAUAAAUUAAAGCUUCAAUUUCAUGCUAAAUCAUCAUAUACUUCCAGCACAUAUUCAUAGAAACUUUCAAUUUCCUUCAUAAAAUCUAAACUAAUGAAUUCAACAAGUGGACCUAGUUGUAAAAGUCACAAAAACACAAAAAUUUCAAGAACUAAUCAAGGAUUGAACUUACUUGUAGUAAAAAUAUGAAAAACCAGCUUAAGGAAACCUUCUAUGGUGUUCUUUUUGCUGACGAGAAUACAGAAAAAUAAAGAGAAAUCUAGAUAAUUCCACUUUAGUCCUAACUUUCAAAGUAAAUUUUGCAAUAUUUCAAUUUUACCCUUAAUUCUCCAAUUCUCCUGAUUUUUCUCAGCUUAUGCCGCCCCAAAUAUCUCCUUUUGGGCCUAUUUACAAUUUAUGUCCCUCCUCAUUCAACAAUUGAGCUAUUUAAUCCUUUUAGUAACUUUUACAUCCUUUUCAAUUUAGUUCUUUUCACUUAAUUAACUACCCAAACGUAAAAAUUUUCUAACAAAAAUUUAAUACCAUAUUACUAACACUUCAUAAAUACUUUUAAAAAUAUUUUCGACUCGGUUUUACGAGAUCGAGGUCUAGAUACCUUGUUUUUACCCAAUUUCUUCAAUAAUUUUUUUUCUAAUCUAACCACUAAAUCGGUAAUUAUUUUAUCGAUAUUUUCAUACGAUUUUCCUAUCAUAUCAAAUUAAUGCAAAAAUAUUAAAAUAAAUUUCUCUUUAAAUCAGAUUUGUGGUUACGAAACCACUGUUCCGAUAACCUUGAAUUUUGGCCAUUACAGGCUGUGGCUCUUCAAAAUUGUAUUCAAUGAGUGCAUAUUAAAUAGAGGCAUUAUAGUGCUCACAAAUGAUAUAAUUACAAUCAAUCCUAUUUUCAGAAACUAGAGUAAGAGUUAGGGAAUUCAUCGAUUUUGCUAAUCAAAGGAAAUUUAAAACUUCGUUGUAUCCCGGGAGGAUCUUUGUCUUAACCUUAUAGCAACAAGUCUCUAAAUUUAUCGUCUCCAUUUAAAUAUCAAACAUAACUGGCCAAUUUUAUCACCUAAAAACGUUCCAAAACAGAAUAUACAUUUAUAAUUAUUUUUAAAUAUCCAACAAGCCAUUUUUUUAUAAAAAAUAAUAUCUAAAAAUUUAAUUAAUUAUAAAAAUAAGGUGUUUGUUAUAGUAUUUUUCAGUGUCACUAAAUACAUUUGUAGCACCACCUUCACUUUUUGUCCAAUCAUUCAGCAAUCAUGACAUUUUAAAAAAUUAAAAAUAUGUAUAUCGCUGACACACCAGCGGCAUCGCUAUCAAUUUACAAAAAAUAGUAACGGAAAAAAUAAAGGAAAAAAAAUGCCUGACACACCACUAGAUACUAUUUUGUUUCACUGUUGGUGGAAUUAAAUUAAAAGAGAAAUUUCAAAAAGUGAAGCUAACACACACACCAACUAUCGUUUUGUUUCAUUGUUGGGGAAGAGAAACUACAUGUAGUCUGCAAUACAGGGAACUAUAGCUUUAGUAGACAAACGAUUUCGGGUUGGGAGAAUUAAAUUUAAAAAUUUAAAUCCGUGAAAAUAUAUGUAUUUUUAAAAAUGCCUAACACAGCGAUGGCACAAAAAUAUUAUUUUUAAAAUAUCAUGAUUGCUGCAUAAUUGGACAAAAAGUGGGUGGUGUCGCCUAACACAACGACGACACUGAGUAACACUGUAACAAACAUUUCAUUUUCGUAAUUAAUCUGUCCUCCACCCAUAAUUGUAAUUAAUUAAUUUUUUAAUAUUAUUUUUAUAAAAAAAAUGCCCUAAAAGAUGUUGUUAAGGCAUGGGGAUCAAUGAGUUUAUACAUCUGUUUUUCCAGAAACGUCAAUUUAUACGUGUAAGUACUUCUAUUUUUUUGGUUUUUGUUAUAUGAUAUGAAAAUCACUGACACGGAUGAUAUACCAAGAGAUUAAGACUUAAUUUAACUAAAUUUUUUAACUUUAAAAAAAAAUACUUUUCGACCAAUUUUUUACUUAGAAAAUUUACUUUUUCUUUCAAACAAUGGUUUAUUUAGAAAUAUUGUUGUUCCAAAAAUAUUAUAGAGAUUUCUGACACAUGUUAGAGACCACCAAAAUUUUCUGCCAAAUGUAAUAAGGUUCAUGGAAUUAAAAUUGUCAUGAAAAAUAAAUUGAGGUCGUAAUUAGGAGAAUAUCUAGAAAGGUUAUUAUAGGAGGGGAACAUGACAUGUGGUAGGGAUCUACUAAGAAUUAAAUGAGUUUAUUUGAAGGAAAAAUUGUAUAUUUACUAUUUAGAUUUGUGCCACAACCACUGUUUAAUGUAUUCGAUUUAGACAUAUUCAUGAGUCAGGUCGCUUGAAAAGUUGGAGGAUUUAAGUGAAAAUAUAGAUCUGAAAAUAUGUUUGGGCAAAAAAAUAAGACCCAUUUAAAAAACGGGUCAAGCCUCGGGUAAGGCUUUUUGGCCCGGGCCUAAACCGGCCCGAAUAUGUAAAAAAAUUUGUUGCUUUUCCUUGCUUUUUUUACUCUUUUUUGUUAUUUUUUCAUUAUUUUCUACCAUUUCACUAUUAUGUUGGAACUAUUUUGUAGUUACUGUUUGGAUAUUGUAUAACUCUUAUUUUAUUGUUAAUUUUGUUACUAUUUUAGAAGCAUUUGCUUGUUAAAUUGCACCUUUCUUAGUGUUAUUUAAGUAUACAUAUAUAUUUAUUUUUAAUUUGUUGGGAAACAUUUAUUUUAAUAUUUUUGAUAUAUUAUAUAUUUUUAAAAUUUAUAUAAUAAAUAAUAUAAAAAUUAAAAUAGGCGGGCCAGACACAAAUUUUAGCAUUCUUAUCCGAGCCGGGCUUAAGCAAAAUAUUAUGCUCAUUUUUGGGCCGGGUCAAUUUCGGGCCCAAAAAAUAGGCAUAAAAUUUUUGUUGGCCCCGACCCGGCUCAUGGGCACCUCUAAUUCGAUUGUGACAAAUAAAACUAUCAUGUAUCAAUUCUUAAAUUGGAUAACGGUUAAUGAACAUCUAUCAAUAGUUGUUUAAAAUUAUCUAGAGUUUAGAGUUUGGUUGUGGAACUUGAUGCAAUAUAAGAUAUUAUAUACAACCAUCGAGAAAAGACAUUACAUUGCGUAAAGGCAGAUUAGUCUUAAGCCAAUAUAUUAUCGGUUGAAUAAAUUUAAAAAGCUUAUAUGUCUGCCAUUGAUAACUUAUAUGUAAAAACAUUUGUUGAGACAAAUUAUUUAAACAUAACUAACUUGCCAAACGCAAUAAUUUACAUUAAAAUUUUGAUAGAAUUUAGUACAUUCAAUGUUUAAAAAUUCAAGCAAUAAAAAUGCAUUACCUCAUAAAGUCAACCAGUAAUAUCAACGCUAUUGUAGUCUUGAAAAUCACUGCGUAAUUCGUAAUUUGCAAAACAAUGUUUUAUUUGAUUUAGUAUGUUUAUUAGCCAUUUUUUAUAAUCGCAUUAAAGAAAACCAAUAUACAUAAAAACGUAAAUCAACAAAUAAAUUGCACUAAAAUAAAACUUAUUAAUAAAAUCAUUAAUUUUCUUUUUCUUUUUCUCUUUUCCAUUUAAAUAUAAUUUUAAAAUAAAAUAAUCUCAUACGUUGAAGUGAAAUCACAUCCUAUCGUUCACGAGUAGGGGUGUGCAUAAUUCGGGUAAAACUGAAAAAAUUCGGUUAAUCGGUCAGUUAACUAAAUUUUUUCGGUUGGGGGUCGGUUAAUUUUUUUAUGAUUUUUCGGUUAACGGUUAAUUCGGUUUGAAACCGGUUGGCUAACCGAAUUUUUUUGGUUUAACCGAAAAAAUUAAAAAAUAAAAUUAUCCAACCCAACCUAAUUACCAACCCAAUAAAACUAAAACUAAAGUCUAUCCAAUUACCAACCCAAUAAAAAUAAAACUAAAGUCUAACUCUAAGUCUCUACUCAAUUACACAUGUUUUUUUAAGUUUAAUGCAAAUGGGGAUUUUUUGGAGAUAAGAAAUGGAUAUUAAUGGAGAAUGUUAAAGACUUACAUUUCAAUUAUGUGUUAAUUUCAAGACUUAUGUAAUGUUUUUAAUUAUGUAGUGAUUCAAUUCGGGUAAUUCGGUUAACUAAAAAUAAAAACCAUACUAUUUUUGGUUAAUUCGGUUAACCGACCUAAUAAACCGAAAAAAAUUCGGUUCGGUUAACGAUUAAAAAUUUUAGAAGUUCGGUUAAUUCGGUUAUAGCUAUUUCGGAUAGAUUAACCAGUAGGUUAACUGAAUGCACACCCCUAUUUACUAGUCUCGCGAAUUUUUUAUACAUCCACUCAACCAAGAAAUAGAAAUAGAAGUGUUAGAAAUGGACUACUCUCUCAAAUUAUUUAUGUCAUCCAUUUUUAGUUUAAUAUAAUAUAAGAAUAAUUAAUCACGAUAAUUAAUAUUUUUCUUUAUUUAUGGCACAUAAUUAUGUUUAAUAUAAUAACAAAUUAAAUUUUUUAUGUUUAUAUAUUUUAUUAAUUUAGUCUUAAAAAUACUUAUAAAAAUGAAUAAAAUGUGCACAUUUUGAGGACUAAAUUUAUUAUUAUACAAAAAAAAAAUAUUGCGACUAAUUAUCCUUAAAUGCUCAUUGUUAAAAUUGAUAAGAAUUAUACUAUUUUGAUUAUUUUUUAAAAUAACAAUUUAUUUAAUAUUGAAAUAAAAAUUUCAAAAUUAGACCGCUUAUCGGAUCUGUCAUACCACUGAUUCAUCACUCAAGUUAGUUCCAUUAAAUAGGUAAUUAAAAAUUUAUAAAAACAAAAAAUAUGAAACGUCUAGUUCAAUCGAUUUUUGUCAAGCUUAAUUAAUCUAUAUCAAAUUUUGAAUCAAUCAAUUCUGAUCCAACUCAUUUGACCAAACGAUCUAGUACCAUUCAAACAAACUUAAUUGAGAUAGAGGGGAAUUCAUUUUACCUAUAAAUAUAAUUUACUAUAAUAUUUUUGGACGGUAAUUUAAUAUAAUUUAAAAUAAGUUAGUUGUAUAUUUGUAUUGCCGUAAGUUGCUUUUUUGGCAGAAAAUGUCAUUUCAGGCAUAAUAAAAGCCGGAAAGCAAACAAGGCAACAAUAAAAUCAAGCGGUCUAAAGAACUCCACGAGGUCCCCGCGUCCACAGAAUGAAAAGGUGGAUUUAAAGCGUGUAAUUUAACUCCAAUUCAUAAGCACGGCGGAAUCCGAGCACAGCCUCGCUGGAUUCUCCUUAAAGCGCACAAAAAUACACACAACAAAAUCGAUCAAAGAGACUAAGGACUAAGGAGGAAAAUGAAAAAGCUAAAAUAUUUAAAAUUAUAAAAUUUAUCUUUUACUAUGUUCAAUUUUCUUUUUUUACAGUAUUCCCUCUGCAAUUUUUUAAUUAACCAAAAAAAACCCUCACCCCAUCAACUUCCGCUUUCUCGUUCCGGGAAAAAACUCCGAAAACCCUAACUUUCUCUCGAGUAAAAUCUCCUCCUCCCUCUCUCGCUGAAUCCACCUUUCGUUUUACGUUUUAUGGCCUUUCGCGUGAGUCUGUAGGUUUUCAAUGGUGUGAAAUCGAGGCCUUAGACUAAGAUUUGAAGGAUCUGUUUCUGUAUAUUUAGGUACAUAGAAUAUAUAUUUUUUCAUAGAGAAAAAAGCUAUGACGGCAUCUGAGAAAGAGCUGGAGCUACAGUUAAUGGAGGCUGGAAACAGGCUCGUCGAACCCCCGUCGUCAGUCGCUGAGCUCAUCCCUCUCCUUGACGUAAUCCCUAAUCCAUCCUUUUACUAUUUUUCCUUAACUUCAUUUUGCUCUUCGUUAAUUUUUUUCCUUAUUAUUUGAUUUGUCUGAUUUUAUUAUGCAUGCGUUUUCGAAAUUUUUCGUGUGGUUCUUUCUAUGCAAUUAAUUUAGUUAGAUUUCCCCCCAUACUGAUCUACUUUUACCCUUUUUUUUCCCAAGAUUUUCUUCUUUUGCAUUGUUUUCACGUGCUUAUUUCUGCUCUUGUUCUCACUGAUGUAAGAUUGAAUCAGUUUAAAAGUGUUUUCUGCUAAUGAGUAUUGUUUAGCACUCUUCAGUCUAAACUAUUGUAAUUUAUAUUUAUUGUGGAUAUAUUGCCAUGUCUAUGUUUUCGAAUUUGAUGAAUUACUGAUAUGCACGACGUGUUUGCUUUACUAGAGUUUAAAUGGUGGAAUUUUUUUGUUUUUGGAUGCAAAUGCUAUGCAGUAGCUAAUAUUUGGAUGAAAUGAUACACAGUUUUGAGAUUUCUUUUGAAUUCAAAAUUGCCCAAGCUGCAUUUAAGUGAUUGCAUAUGUGAAAGUGUGCGUUUUUCUUGUCCAUAUGUCACAUGUCAGGCUUUAAGUUUAUGAAACCUGAGGAUUAGUAUAUGAUAGAUACAUCAUUAUUUUUUGUUUAGAUAAUUAAGCACCACCUAUGUUUAGCAAUUAAUUUCUGACAGGCUAGUUAAAUUUUUAAUAACCAACUUGUGAUGACAUUGAAAGCAUUGAAAAUUAAGUUGGAAAGGAUGUGUAGAUAUUGUGUGAAAGGAUUCCUUGUAAGCAAGGAUUUUGUUUGGCAUGUGAGAUUACGAUGUUAUUGCAUUAAACAUUUAUGUUAAUUAUAGAUAUAUUUGCAAAUAUUUAAUCUAUUUCCUUAGAGGGAUGAUGCAUCGGAAUCUGUUAUUUUUAAUGAAUUUCACCUCAUCUUUUUUAUACCUCUAGGAAGAUCUGUCCUGCCAAAAUUUUGUGUCCCAAGUAAGGAGCUGUUAAAAUCCACUAUGGAUGCUUGAUAGGAUAGAAUUUCGACUCCAUACUUGAUGAUGUCCUUUAUUUUUAUGGUCUUUGCAACCUUUUGGUUUUCUUCUGCCCCAGAACUCCAUUUACAAAUGAUAGCAAUGUCAAAGAAGAUUCUGGAAUUGUGAUAUACCGCACAACUCUGGUGCUAUUCCCUGUUUAGACAAAAUUAUGUGUACUCAUGAUGUCAAGCAAGAAAACUUUGAAGAGGAUGUGCAAAAAAAGUGAUACUAGUGCAACUAUUCGUUUUCCUUUGGUAGAUUGUUUUGUCUGGAAUCAAUGUCUCCUUUAAAUCAUCGCUCUAGGUUUAGCGUCUCUUAGGGUUUCACUACUUGUUCUUGAGCAGGUGGCUGCUGUAAAACCAUGCAUGAAUUCUGUUUUAGAAUGCCCUAGGAAUUUAGUAAUGAUUGCAGUGUGAUUCCAGUGAUGAGUGCGUGCUGAAGUGUUUGGUUUGUAGUCAAUUUGAAGUACAAAAUUUUAAGUAUUUUGGUUUUGCUCUCCUUAUUUUACAAGGGGAUAAUUCGUGUUGCUUUUUUUUACUGCCAGCUUUACCAUUCUAUUUCUGUUCUUGUGGAGCAUUAUAGCUGUAUAGGUAAUUUUUUCACUUCCUAAUGAUAUGUGGGCUCAUUGAUUGUUUGAAUUUUUAGGUGCUUUAGCAUUCCCGUGUUUUGCCUUAUGCCAGUGCUUUUUAUAUUUACUUUUCACAUUGAUGAUUAUUGUUUAUUCUUUUCUAUCCCUCAUGAAUAUAGCAAGUUGAGAGUUGUCUAUCAAGGGUGGAACAAUCACCAAACCAAUCAAUGCAAAAUGCACUGUCUCCAUCACUCAAAGCAUUGGUAGCAGAGCACCUGUUCAGACAUCCUGAUGAUGAUGUAAAAGUUGCAGUUGCUGCUUGCAUCAGCGAGAUAACAAGGAUAACUGCACCUGAUGCUCCCUAUGAUGAUGACCAGAUGAGGGUACGUUGAAUUCAUUGCUUCAGGAUGCUUUGCAGAUCAUGACCAUUUUAAAAUCAUUUUCUGUAUUUAUUGCCUUUAAUAUGUAUGCAGGAGGUUUUUCAACUGAUUGUGUCAUCCUUUGAGAAUUUAUCUGACAAGUCCAGCUGUUCAUUCAUUAAGAGGACCUCGAUUCUUGAAACUGUUGCCAAAGUCAGGUCGUGUGUGGUGAUGUUGGAUCUUGAAUGUGAUGCCCUUAUUGUUGAGAUGUUCCAGCAUUUCCUCAAGGAAAUAAGGUAAAAGUGAACUUCUUGAAUCGAGAGUUCAUUCUCUUGUUGUGUUUCAUCAUUGUUAUUCUUCAGCUAUUGUCUCCUAGUUAUUGUCUGAUUUGUAAGCUUUUAUCUGUUAAGUUUAUUGCUUUUGAAAACUUUCUUUUCAGUUCUUUGUCUUGGUCUCUUGUGGAUGAACCUGUGCUUUUGCAGAAGCUGUUCUCUUAAUGUCAAGUGAUGAUCAUGGCUGCUGUGAAAUUUUAACUACGUGUUUAAAAUGAUAGACUGCUAUAUAGGUUUCUGAAUAAUGGAGAUUAUGCUCCCUCUAGAGUGUCUGGAUUUAAACCUUUCAUUAAGUAGUUGCCUAUGUUAGGUAACAGAUCUUCAGUUCCUUCUAAUCUGAACAAAGUUUAAGUGCUUUUUUAAGAAUUCUAAGUUCCUUUAGGGAGCUUUGUCUUGGUCAAGUUUUUAAUAGAGUUUGUUUUCAUAUUAAAAUUUUGUCGUCAUCCAAAUGUACCACUACUUAACUAGAGUACUAGUAUGAAAAAUAAUAAAAAUGGUUUAGUAUUCUAUGUCGAACAUGUAUUCUGAUCCUUUAUUUUCCUUAUGAUUCUUUUUGUUUAUUUUUUCAGGGAUUAUCAUGCAGAGGCAGUCUUUACGUCGAUGGUGACUAUUAUGACCCUUGUGCUGGAAGAAAGUGAAGAUAUCCCUACAGAGCUGCUCUCCCCAAUCUUAUCUAGUGUAAAGAAGGAUAAUGAGGUCUGUUGUCAUACGAGUAAGUUACUGCCUUUCACUUCUGCUAUCUUUGCUUAGUUCACCUAGGGUUUCAAUUUCCUCUCAGGAAGUUCUUCCUGUUGCUCGGAAGUUGGCAGAGAAAGUGCUUGAAAACUGUGCAUCAAAGCUUCAACCAUACCUAACCCAAGCUGUAGAGAACUUGGGAAUUUCUUUUGAUGAUUAUAGUAGUAUAGUUGCUUCUAUAUGUGGGGCGACAGCUGGUGCUGUAGAGCGGGAUGAUGCUGCUGUUGGAAAACUUGCGGUAAUUACGUCAUUUGUAUCUUAAUGUAACUGCUUAAUUUCAAAGUCUGUGGUUUGAGGGCAAUUAUUUUUUUAUUUUGUGCUGUGAUUUUGUAUGAAUUUCGACUCAGCAUUAUUUGCUGAUAGAUUAUUUGCUACUUAAUUAUACAAAAUUCAAUGCUUUUUAUUUAUAUAUUGUGUGUGUCAACACUUUGUUCUUGGCCUUUUUGUGGAUUAUCUUUUAAUUUUUUCUUUUGGUCAAACUAUUCUUCAAACCAACAAGUUUUUGGCUCAUGCUUACACCUUACUGAUGUCUUCUAUUUUUUUAUUAACAUAACUUAGUCUCCUACUCUCCUUAUGUUUCUCUUUUUGGGUUGAUUUGCUGUAGGAUGAUGAGAAAAUACCAGCAGAGGCACCUUUGGAGAACGCAGCCCAGGUAUGUUUUAUUUCGUAUAUUUAUUGUCAAUUGUGUUAUUCUUCUCUUUGCGUGCGGAUUCUAGUCCUUUCUCUUUCCUUUUAAUGUAUUGAGUAUUUUUUUUUUUUGAGAAUUUAAUUCCUGAAUUUUUCAUUUAUAAAUAUUCAAAAUUCCUAUCAGGGGGAUAAAAAGAUUCCUAAAGAAGCAGUUUCAAUUGAACAAGUGGCCCUUGUAAAUGAAAAGACUCCCGUGCCAGUUGCUUGCAAUGGCAUUAUGCGAACUGCUGAUUCAAUCUCUGUAAAGAAGCAAGAGGAUGAUCACAUUGCUGAUAAGUCCGAGAAUGAAACAUCAACUGUGGCUGAACCUGAUUUAUUGGAAGCUGAGAAAGUGGUCGAUCCAGGCCCUAAGUUAGAGCGAAGUACCCAGGAAAAGGAGAGGAAAUCUGAUUCAAAAUUAACUGAACUUUCUGGCAGCUCUCAGGUUGAUGAGAAGGAAGUUGAGACUAUACCGGAUCGUAAACAUGACUGCAAGGAUGGUGAUGGUUCUCCAUGUCAAGAUGUGUCUGUUGAUGGGGAUGUAUCCUCUGAAAAUAGAAGAGAGACAGAUUUUCAGCAUUCCUCUCCAAAAGCAAUUGAGGAUAAAUCGACUGAUGUUGCUUCCCCAACACCAAGUGGGACUGUAAUUGUUGAUGGUCAUUCCAAAAGGGUAUCAAGGCCAAAAAAGAAAGACAGCGUAAGCAAGGAGACAACAUGUUCUGUUGAUGAUGUCUCUAAGAAGUCGCAUGAAGGGACAAGUGAUUCAGAAGCAAAAUCAAAUAGACAAUCAGGAAAAAAGGGUUCUACUGUAGUUUCCAACGAGGAUAAUGCUCCAGUUAGUGUAGAUGAAACUAAGAAAGAAAGUGACAUUGCAAGUGAUUUGGAGGCAAAAUCACUGAAGAAGUCAUCAAAGAAGGUAGAUUCUAGUGGUAACAACUUAGAUAAAUCCUCUUCAAAGAAACUGGAGGAUAAGAAUAGGCUAGCUCGGGGUAAAGUUGCUCCUGUGAAGGAUGGAACAAAAAACUCAACCAAGAAUGAUGAUGAGGUAAUUUCUUUUUGGCUUAUAACGUGUAAUUUAGCUAUUGUAGUAAUGUUUAUUAUUCAAAGCUUUGUGAUUUAUUUGUUUAGCUGUACUUGAUCCUUCAAUCAAGGGAAUCAUUCUUGCUUACUAUUGAUUUAGGAAGUGAUUGGAUCUCCAAAGUCAGUGAAGCCAAACAAACAAGAUUCUCACAAGGAGGGGACCCCUAAGACAAAUUCCAAGAGAAAGCAUAUGCCAAGUAAAGAAAAAGUAAUGUCUUUUUGCAUCUUUAAGGAUGAAAUUUUAGUAGUGGUGUAUUGUAGUUUUGGUAGGUUGCAUUUAAAUAAAGGUGGCAUCUACGCUGCUAUGAUUUUUCAUGUUUAUUGAUGUACUGUGUUUGUUUCUAAUGUUCGAAGCAUAUCUAGACAUAGAUAUGGGCUUACGUACUUGCAAGGGGCCACUCAAUACAUGGAAAAUUUGAAAAAAAUUAAACAUACCUGUGUCCAUCACUAACAUCUCAGUCUGAGAAACACAGGCCAGAAUUGUAGGUGGCCUUUGAUGAUGUUUGUGGGUUUGAACUCUUAAUGAUUUCUCCAUUCUUGCAUCCUUGAUGAUCAUUUUGCUAUUCACAGGCCAUUUAACUUUUCUUGCUUUCUUCUUAAUUCUCAUAUUGGCUUUUUUCUGAUUAUUCCUGUGAUUGUCUAGAUUUUUACCUUUAGAUUUUCUUGAAGCGU
This 17987-nucleotide long non-coding RNA is filed under the name Gossypium barbadense (sea-island cotton). Its description in RNAcentral is "long non-coding RNA (GBAR_LNC015956)". Lineage: Eukaryota; Viridiplantae; Streptophyta; Magnoliopsida; Malvales; Malvaceae. The record is from RNAcentral.